GUGAACGCUGGCGGUAGGCCUAACACAUGCAAGUCGAACGGCAGCACAGUAAGAGCUUGCUCUUACGGGUGGCGAGUGGCGGACGGGAGGGGUACAUAGCGAUCUACACUUUUGUGGGGGGGAACGUAGGGGAACAUACGCUCAUACCGCACACAAGCUACGCGGGAAAACAGGGGGGCUUCGCACCUUUCGCGCUUGUGUAUGACGAGAUGUCGGAUUAGCUAGUUGGCGGGGUAAAGGCCCACCAACGCGACGAUCCGUAGCUGGUCUGAGAGGAUGAUCAGCCACACUGGAACUGAGACACGGUCCAGACUCCUACGGGAGGCAGCAGUGGGGAAUAUUGGACAAUGGGCGCAAGCCUGAUCCAGCCAUACCGCGUGGGUGAAGAAGGCCUUCGGGUUGUAAAGCCCUUUUGUUGGGAAAGAAAAGCAGCAGGUUAAUACCCCGCUGUUCUGACGGUACCCAAAGAAUAAGCACCGGCUAACUUCGUG
Molecule: ribosomal RNA, 491 nt
Filed under: uncultured bacterium
Lineage: Bacteria
Description: partial 16S ribosomal RNA
Rfam family: Bacterial small subunit ribosomal RNA
Source: RNAcentral